UCGGCGGCGGCUGCUGCUGCCUGUGGCCCGGGCGGCUGGGAGAAGCGGAGUGUUGGUGAGUGACGCGGCGGAGGUGUAGUUUGACGCGGUGUGUUACGUGGGGGAGAGAAUAAAACUCCAGCGAGAUCCGGGCCGCGAACGAAAGCAGUGACGGAGGAGCUUGUACCACCGGUAACUAAAUGACCAUGGAAUCUGGAGCAGAGAACCAGCAGAGUGGAGAUGCAGCUGUAACAGAAGCUGAAAGCCAGCAAAUGACAGUUCAAGCCCAGCCACAGAUUGCCACAUUAGCCCAGGUGUCCAUGCCAGCAGCUCAUGCAACAUCAUCUGCUCCCACCGUAACUUUAGUGCAGCUGCCCAAUGGGCAGACAGUUCAAGUCCAUGGAGUUAUUCAGGCGGCCCAGCCAUCAGUUAUUCAGUCUCCACAAGUCCAGACAGUUCAGUCUUCCUGUAAGGACUUAAAAAGACUUUUCUCCGGAACUCAGAUUUCAACUAUUGCAGAAAGUGAAGAUUCACAGGAGUCAGUGGAUAGUGUAACCGAUUCCCAAAAACGAAGAGAAAUUCUUUCAAGGAGGCCUUCCUACAGGAAAAUUUUGAAUGACUUAUCUUCUGAUGCACCAGGAGUGCCAAGGAUUGAAGAAGAGAAGUCUGAAGAGGAGACUUCAGCACCUGCCAUCACCACUGUAACGGUGCCAACUCCGAUUUACCAAACUAGCAGUGGACAGUAUAUUGCCAUUACCCAGGGAGGAGCAAUACAGCUGGCUAACAAUGGUACCGAUGGGGUACAGGGCCUGCAGACAUUAACCAUGACCAAUGCAGCUGCCACUCAGCCGGGUACUACCAUCCUGCAGUAUGCACAGACCACUGAUGGACAGCAGAUCUUAGUGCCCAGCAACCAAGUUGUUGUUCAAGCUGCCUCUGGAGAUGUACAAACAUACCAGAUUCGUACAGCACCCACUAGCACCAUUGCCCCUGGAGUUGUUAUGGCGUCCUCCCCAGCACUUCCUACACAGCCUGCUGAAGAAGCAGCACGAAAGAGAGAGGUUCGCCUCAUGAAGAACAGGGAAGCAGCACGAGAAUGUCGUAGAAAGAAGAAAGAAUAUGUGAAAUGUCUAGAAAACAGAGUGGCAGUGCUUGAAAACCAAAACAAGACACUGAUUGAGGAGCUAAAAGCACUUAAGGACCUUUACUGCCACAAAUCAGAUUAAUUUGGGAUUUAAAUUUUCACCUAUUAUGGUGGAAAAAGGACUGGCUUGGCCACAACCAGAAAGACGAAAUAAACAUUUAUUUUCUAAACAUUUCUUUUUUUCUAUGCGCAAAACUGCCUGAAAGCAACUACAGAAUUUCAUUCAUUUGUGCUUUUGCAUUAAACUGUGAAUGCUCCAACACCUGCCUCCACUUCUCCCCUCAAGAAAUUUUCAGCACCACGAAUCAUGAAGAGACUUCUGCUUUUUAUCCCCCGCCCUCUUCAAGAAGUAAUAAUUUGUUUACUUGUAAAUUGAUGGGGGAAAUGAGGAAAAGAAAAUCUUUUUUUAAAUGAUUUCAAGGUUUGUGCUGAGCUCCUUGAUUGCCUUAGGGACAGAAUUACCCCAGCCUCUUGAGCUGAAGUAAUGUGUGGGCCGCAUGCAUAAAGAUGAACAGAGUUAAUGAAGGAGCACCAUUCUAAGAAUUGAGUGAUGUAGUCUUAUAUCUGGACAGUUCACCAGAUUCUCAAGAAGGCUUUCAAACGACUGUAAAUUUUGUUGUUUAUCCUGCUGAGCUAAUGGGGAAAGUUAUAGUGUAAAAAUUAUUUGUAUACCUGCAUAGAUGUGUCAGUUUUCCAAAACUGGUUUAAUAGAAACCAAGCAAAAUCACAAAUCGAUUCACAAACUAGAAGUCUUUCUUAAUGAGUCAGAAUGUCAGACCUGAACGUUUUAAAAGUCAUAAGCUUUAUAAAUGAAAAUUGCCUAGUAUUUAGCAAGUUAAAUGUUUUCAAAAGUUGAGGCUUUCUAUUUAAUUAGAAAGUUGGUGGUCCUCUUAGUCCCUGAUAAAUCAAGGCAAGUCACAUCCAUAUUAGCUGGCUGAAUUUAUAAGUUAUAAAAGACUGAUUGCACUGGUUUGAAGUCAGUUACUUAAUGGUGAGGUAAGAAAUGUAUUCUGUUGCUAAAUCUGUUUAGACCCUUGGAGAAACUUGAAGAUUUCAGUUUAUACAGAUAGAAAUUAAGCAUAUUUUGAG
Molecule: RNA transcript, 2212 nt
Organism: Eubalaena glacialis (North Atlantic right whale)
Lineage: Eukaryota; Metazoa; Chordata; Mammalia; Artiodactyla; Balaenidae
Gene: CREB1
Gene name: cAMP responsive element binding protein 1
Exons: 10
Source: RefSeq, a predicted model, not a curated record